CAUGAGGGAGGUGUUGAGACUGGCUUUCAGCACUUCUAUUGGGAUUCAACCUUUGUCCUGGGGAUUUACCACAUACUUGAGAGUUGAUGGCAUUCUUCAGCUCAUUGAUAGAGGGACAUCCAGCUCUCCCAAGAUAAGCAGAGUUGCUAACUGUUCAGUUGAAGUCCAUGUUUUCCCAUGAGUUCAGUUCUUGAUAGCGCUGUGCCCAUCACACCUCCCUACAUGUGUAGCUGUCAGCAGCAAGUUGAAUGCUCUGACACAGCUUUAGCCAGUAGUCAUUAGCAUAUUGCCUGGCAAUCCACUGGGCAUUACUCCUUGCCUUUCUCAGUGCAGCAAGCGUUUUCUCACAAGACACAUGCUUAUAGUUCACAAGAGCCUAACCCUUUGCAGUGAUAAAAGGUUCCAUGUCCUUAAUGCCAGCCUCAAACCAGUUGGGGAAUUGCUGUUUACUUUUGCCCAAAAGGACAUAGCUAUGUUGUAGGUUGAUGUUCAAUGCAGUUUCUAAAGCAGUCCAGUAGCACUUGUUCGACAGAAUCAGAGAAGCAUUUCUAAAGUUCAGGUAUGACUGUUCUGGCAGUGUUGAUUUGAGGCCACAUUUUCUGCUUUGUCCUAUAGGCCCUCUUUGGCUGGAGAAGGAUCAGCAUGGAUUCUUUUGUAUGGAUCUCCCAAGAGAAGAAGUUCCAUUACUGGGGCACAGCCACCAAAACAGUAUCUCUCCAAGGUGUUUCAUUUGAUGUGGCCUUUCCAAUCAAAAAGAAGAAGAAGAAAAGAACAAAACAAUAUGGCUGCUAUUUCUCUCCUAUCUUCACUCACAUGUAAAUAGUUCCUGCAUGAAUAAAUCCUUUGAACUCGAGAAAUUGUAAGUAAUUACUUCAAUUUAAAUCACUUAAGUUGCUAACAAUAUUUAUUUUUUAAACAGCUCUGGGAAUUGUAGUUUGGGGACAGGAAUCUUCUAACAACUCUUGGCACCCUUAAACUGCAGCUUCCAGCAUACUUUGGGAGAAGCCAUGACUGUUUAAAGUGAUAUCGUAGUACUGUAAAUAUAUGUUGUGAAUGUGGCCUAAGUCUCUGUUUUUCAGCUUGUUAAUUUUUGUCCUUCUUUCGUACUUGUAAUGCCUUUCUGGGACAUGGUAGUUCUGGCCUACAUUUAUCAGGCUGAGUAAAGCAUGCUGCUGGAGAGAAGGAACGUUGCAGGUCUUCAGGGUCAAGUCCCAUCUAUCUCCUGAACAGAGCUCCAGAGACACUAUCGCAGCCAUGCCUUGAAUUGAAUGUAGUACCCAUCUAGCCCAGCCCAUUCUUCAGCAUACGGUAAGUUCCAGUGCAUGAAGCUUUGAAUCAAAUGCAGAAAUCUGCCUUAUACCUGAUCCAACUGGCCUACUGCUGCUUGUUAUGACUGGCAGAAGCUUUCCACAGUCCCAGAAAGAAAAACAUCAUUGCAAUCACCUUCUGCUUCAGGGUUGGGGCCGGAUUUUUUAUCUCCCCUCAUCUCUGCAAGGCAUCUUUGGCAGAUGGCCAGGACCACCUACCUGUCAAUCUUGUGACAUCAUAAAUAUACAAUGUAAUUGCUGGCUUUGCUCAGCACUGCAUACUGA
Long non-coding RNA from Podarcis raffonei (Aeolian wall lizard), 1592 nucleotides. RefSeq lists it as uncharacterized. NCBI's taxonomy places the organism in Eukaryota, Metazoa, Chordata, Lepidosauria, Squamata, Lacertidae. The transcript has 3 exons. The record is from RefSeq and is a predicted model, not a curated record.